GACGAACGCUGGCGGCGUGCUUAACACAUGCAAGUCGAACGGAAAGGCCCUGCUUUUGUGGGGUGCUCGAGUGGCGAACGGGUGAGUAACACGUGAGUAACCUGCCCUUGACUUUGGGAUAACUUCAGGAAACUGGGGCUAAUACCGGAUAGGAGCUCCUGCUGCAUGGUGGGGGUUGGAAAGUUUCGGCGGUUGGGGAUGGACUCGCGGCUUAUCAGCCUGUUGGUGGGGUAGUGGCUUACCAAGGCUUUGACGGGUAGCCGGCCUGAGAGGGUGACCGGCCACAUUGGGACUGAGAUACGGCCCAGACUCCUACGGGAGGCAGCAGUGGGGAAUAUUGCACAAUGGGCGGAAGCCUGAUGCAGCAACGCCGCGUGCGGGAUAACGGCCUUCGGGUUGUAAACCGCUUUCGCCUGUGACGAAGCGUGAGUGACGGUAAUGGGUAAAGAAGCACCGGCUAACUACGUG
RNAcentral lists this ribosomal RNA (468 nucleotides) under uncultured bacterium. RNAcentral's name for it is "partial 16S ribosomal RNA". It matches the Rfam family "Bacterial small subunit ribosomal RNA", at positions 28 to 507 of the family's 1533-position model. The record is from RNAcentral.